UGGGGAAUUUUGGACAAUGGGGGAAACCCUGAUCCAGCCAUCCCGCGUGUGCGAUGAAGGCCUUCGGGUUGUAAAGCACUUUUGGCAGGAAAGAAACGUCGCGGGUUAAUACCCCGCGAAACUGACGGUACCUGCAGAAUAAGCACCGGCUAACUACGUGCCAGCAGCCGCGGUAAUACGUAGGGUGCAAGCGUUAAUCGGAAUUACUGGGCGUAAAGCGUGCGCAGGCGGUUCGGAAAGAAAGAUGUGAAAUCCCAGAGCUUAACCUUGGAACUGCAUUUUUAACUACCGGGCUAGAGUGUGUCAGAGGGAGGUGGAAUUCCGCGUGUAGCAGUGAAAUGCGUAGAUAUGCGGAGGAACACCGAUGGCGAAGGCAGCCUCCUGGGAUAACACUGACGCUCAUGCACGAAAGCGUGGGGAGCAAACAGGAUUAGAUACCCUGGUAGUCCACGCCCUAAACGAUGUCAACUAGCUGUUGGGGCCUUCGGGCCUUGGUAGCGCAGCUAACGCGUGAAGUUGACCGCCUGGGGAGUACGGUCGCAAGAUUAAAACUUAAAUGAAUUGACGGGGUCAUAGCUGUUU
This 582-nucleotide ribosomal RNA is filed under the name uncultured bacterium. RNAcentral describes it as "partial 16S ribosomal RNA". It matches the Rfam family "Bacterial small subunit ribosomal RNA", at positions 355 to 935 of the family's 1533-position model. The record is from RNAcentral.